GACGAACGCUGGCGGCGCGCUUAACACAUGCAAGUCGAACGGAAAGGCCUGCUUUCCCUUGUGGAUUGCGGGUACUCGAGUGGCGAACGGGUGAGUAACACGUGAGUGAUCUGCCCCCAACUUGGGUAUAAGCCUGGGAAACUGGGUCUAAUUCCCGAUAGGACUGCAGGGUGGUGCCUGUGGUGGAAAACGAUUUUCUAGUGGUUGGGGAUGAGCUCGCGGCCUAUCAGCUUGUUGGUGGGGUAAUGGCCUACCAAGGCGGCGACGGGUAGCCGGCCUGAGAGGGUGGACGGCCACAUUGGGACUGAGAUACGGCCCAGACUCCUACGGGAGGCAGCAGUGGGGAAUAUUGCACAAGGGGCGGAAGCCUGAUGCAGCGACGCCGCGUGGGGGAUGACGGCCUUCGGGUUGUAAACUCCUUUCGACCGCGAGGAAGCCACCUGGUUGGAAGGGUGGUGACGGUAGUGGUAGAAGAAGCACCGGCUAACUACGUG
RNAcentral lists this ribosomal RNA (494 nucleotides) under uncultured bacterium. Its description in RNAcentral is "partial 16S ribosomal RNA". It matches the Rfam family "Bacterial small subunit ribosomal RNA", at positions 28 to 507 of the family's 1533-position model. The record is from RNAcentral.